This 68-nucleotide transfer RNA is filed under the name Lymantria mathura (rosy gypsy moth). RNAcentral describes it as "tRNA-Leu". The record is from RNAcentral. Lineage: Eukaryota; Metazoa; Arthropoda; Insecta; Lepidoptera; Erebidae.
ACUAUUUUGACAGAAAAAUGUGAUGGUUUUAGAAGUCAUUUAUAUAUAAUUUAUUUAUAUAGGUAGUA